Elaeis guineensis (African oil palm) is the source of this 1192-nucleotide non-coding RNA. The record is from RefSeq and is a predicted model, not a curated record. NCBI's taxonomy places the organism in Eukaryota, Viridiplantae, Streptophyta, Magnoliopsida, Arecales, Arecaceae.
CAUUGCACCCAGAGCACAACUAUGCUGAAGUAAUUUUAUUUAUUAUCUCUAGGAUGGAAAACCAAUUUAAUGUGAAGUACCAACCAGUUGCACAGCUUGCACUCAUCAACAUCAUCAACUCUUGCACCUGCUAAGAAAGCUACUGUGGAAGAUCAUAAAUGGAAAACUCAAGUCGUGCCUGAAAAAGAUAGGUUUAAGAAUCAAGCACAUCAGCAAUAAAUAAAAAAUACUGCAAAGUAAAUAUUUGCAAUUUGCCGUCCAGCUCAAUUGAUUUAUAUGGUUUCUCAUAAUUAUUUUUCUUUCAUUUUGAAUUGUUUCAGGGUGUCUAUUUUGAAAUUGAUGCACUGAUGAUUUACUAUCCAGUUCAUCAGUUGCUGUGGCAUGAUGGUUGCACAACUACUUCAAAAAAGCAUAUGUACCACUGUCCGGUGAUUUUGUGUUGCUGUGGAAACUAAACAACAGUAAAAAGCCAGGACAGGCAGUGCUUCGACAUGGGCUUGAACUUGUCCAACAAAUGAAGCAGAGGCCAUUUUUGGCUGGGGGGAAUGAACGACCAUGCCAAAACUGUUGCAGGACUAUUCAAAGGGAUGGGGAAAGAGAUCAACAAGAAAAAUAAAACAAACAUUGAAGUAGACUGAAGAAGGGCAAGGGUACAAAGGCCAGGUGGUGGAGAUUAGGUUGGCAGAACGGUGGGAGGCAAGGUGGCCCCCAUAGUCAGAAGAAAAUGGGGACAAUGCCACAUUUAAAGGUGGGUGGGAGAGGGUCUCACCCAGAAAUCUCCGAUCCAUGUCCUGCCGCUUUGGCCCCUUUCACUGGUCCUAUGCCCCCAGUUCUAGAUUUGUGAUGCCUCAAUCAACUUGUGCCAUUAAUCAAACCUAGUCCUUUUUCUUUUUUUUGAAGAGCACACGCUGUCUUCAAUUAUCACGCUUUAUUUGUGCACCAUAUCAAGAUUGAUUUUAUGCGAAUUUUGGGAGAUCAAAUUAUCCAGUUGCUUUUCAGAAUUUCUUUUUUUUUUCCCCCCCAAAGCAAACGUGUCAUAAAUUUUGAAAUAGAAGUUAUAUUGGACAAAUGGUCAUAUGAUCAUUUGCAUAAAUACAGCUCAUGGAUGUCCAAACAGUCUAGAGCAUUUUAAUUAUUUCUCUAACUUUCUAUUUCGAAGCUGCAAUGACGUGGCCAUUUGAGAGAAUCCAAA